UACGUAGGGUGCGAGCGUUGUCCGGAUUUAUUGGGCGUAAAGAGCUCGUAGGCGGUUUGUCGCGUCUGCUGUGAAAACCUCGGGCUUAACUCGGGGCUUGCUUUCGAUACGGGCAGACUGGAGGUAUGCAGGGGAGAACGGAAUUCCUGGUGUAGCGGUGAAAUGCGCAGAUAUCAGGAGGAACACCGGUGGCGAAGGCGGUUCUCUGGGCAUGACCUGACGCUGAGGAGCGAAAGUGUGGGGAGCGAACAGG
This 253-nucleotide ribosomal RNA is filed under the name uncultured bacterium. RNAcentral describes it as "partial 16S ribosomal RNA". It matches the Rfam family "Bacterial small subunit ribosomal RNA", at positions 524 to 776 of the family's 1533-position model. The record is from RNAcentral.